UACAGAGGGUGCAAGCGUUGUUCGGAAUUAUUGGGCGUAAAGCGCGUGUAGGCGGCUUUGCAAGUCAGGUGUGAAAGCCCCGAGCUUAACUCGGGAAUUGCAUCUGAAACUGCUGUGCUUGAGUUCUGGAGGGGGUAGUGGAAUUCCCAGUGUAGCGGUGAAAUGCGUAGAUAUUGGGAGGAACACCUGCGGCGAAGGCGGCUACCUGGACAGAAACUGACGCUGAGGCGCGAAAGCUAGGGGAGCGAACGGG
This 253-nucleotide ribosomal RNA is filed under the name uncultured bacterium. RNAcentral's name for it is "partial 16S ribosomal RNA". It matches the Rfam family "Bacterial small subunit ribosomal RNA", at positions 524 to 776 of the family's 1533-position model. The record is from RNAcentral.